Molecule: long non-coding RNA, 1057 nt
Organism: Amphiprion ocellaris (clown anemonefish)
Lineage: Eukaryota; Metazoa; Chordata; Actinopteri; Pomacentridae
Source: Ensembl
GUCGCUGUUCUCUCCUUGCGCUGCUGCAUUUGUUUUCCUUUUUUUGUCGUUUUUAAUACACCGAUGUUCGGCUGGAGUGAAUCGGCGGCUAGCUAGCUGCUUCAUUGUUAACUGUUAUCUGUUUCAGCGUCCUGUGCGGCGAAUAUUUUUGUUUUCGUCGCUCGUUAUUGCGCGUCCCAUUAGCUUUAGGCUAAAAAUACAAGCUAACAUCGAAGGCAAAGCUCGUGCAGCCACGCUUUGUCAUCAUCCCUCCCUCCUGCCAGGUGAGCUGAGGUGGCCAACAGCGUUGUAAGGUGUGUCAUAAUGGGAUUCUCAUAAAGAUUGCAGGAAACGUUUAAAAGAAAGAAGAAAGCCAGAGGAAUUCGUACACAGAUGUCGACAGACAGCAGUCAUGUCCAUUGAAUACACCAUUGAUAUCCAGCUGACAGAGUUGGGAUUCCCAGACAUCCUGCAGCCACAGGAGGCUUCGGAUAGGCAGACACCAUGUCACCCCACGUCGCCUGGUGACUCCCCCAGUCACUCACCUACUUCCCUUUCAACCACUCAUAAGCAAAGACAUCUGAUCAGAGAUGAGAAAGAAGCAAGUACAGCAAAACUGACCUCCAACUCCCAGCAAAACACAGUGGUUUAUGUGUCGUCACCUCUGGCAGAGACAUUACCCGAUAAACAGGUAAAUCCUGCACAGAAUCCACAAAAUGAACCAGCUGUCAACGGGACUGAACGGCCAGAGAUGACUGUAGAUGAUCCCCCAGCUGGAGCAGACAGUCCCCAGCUGAUCACUGAUGAACAUGGCGGAGAUGCUGCCACGGAGGGACUAGCAGAGGGCCAACUGGAUGUGGAUGAUGACUCGGACGACAGUGAAGUUUCAGAUCUGUAUGAGGAAGAAGAGGCUGACGAGGAAGACGAUGAGGAAGAGGACGGAAUAAGCAAUGGUAUGACCGAUUUCUCUUAAGGCAAAUGCACCCACAUAUAAGACACUUUACACAGACACUUUUAGAAACUUUGCAUUUUGUACUUUGUUUUCGUUGUUAUUUCUAUUUUAUUACUAACCUCUGUG